UGACGAGACCAGAGUGC
This 17-nucleotide unclassified non-coding RNA is filed under the name Mus musculus (house mouse). Its description in RNAcentral is "oocyte_clustered_small_RNA1697". Lineage: Eukaryota; Metazoa; Chordata; Mammalia; Rodentia; Muridae. The record is from RNAcentral.